GUGCUGUAUGAAAGGAGAGAAGGUUAGCACUCCUCUUGACAAGGAUAGAAGAAACUCUUGGCCCUGACAACACGUUUACAGUUCAGACAUGGCCAUCAUGGUGGUAUCUAACCAUCAUGCUUU
Molecule: small nuclear RNA, 123 nt
Organism: Otolemur garnettii (small-eared galago)
Lineage: Eukaryota; Metazoa; Chordata; Mammalia; Primates; Galagidae
Source: Ensembl